This 968-nucleotide ribosomal RNA is filed under the name uncultured bacterium. RNAcentral's name for it is "bacterial SSU rRNA". It matches the Rfam family "Bacterial small subunit ribosomal RNA", at positions 57 to 1073 of the family's 1533-position model. The record is from RNAcentral.
GCAAGUCGAACGAGACCUUCGGGUCUAGUGGCGCACGGGUGCGUAACGCGUGGGAAUCUGCCCUUAGGUACGGAAUAACUCAGAGAAAUUUGUGCUAAUACCGUAUGAUGUCGAAAGACCAAAGAUUUAUCGCCUAAGGAUGAGCCCGCGUAAGAUUAGCUUGUUGGUGAGGUAAAAGCUCACCAAGGCGACGAUCUUUAGCUGGUCUGAGAGGAUGAUCAGCCACACUGGGACUGAGACACGGCCCAGACUCCUACGGGAGGCAGCAGUGGGGAAUAUUGGACAAUGGGCGAAAGCCUGAUCCAGCAAUGCCGCGUGAGUGAUGAAGGCCUUAGGGUUGUAAAGCUCUUUUACCAGGGAUGAUAAUGACAGUACCUGGAGAAUAAGCUCCGGCUAACUCCGUGCCAGCAGCCGCGGUAAUACGGAGGGAGCUAGCGUUGUCCGGAAUUAUUGGGCGUAAAGAGCUCGUAGGUGGUUUGUUACGUCGGUUGUGAAAUUCAGGGGCUCAACCCCUGACUUGCAGCCGAUACGGGCAAGCUAGAGUUUGGUAGGGGAGACUGGAAUUCCUGGUGUAGCGGUGGAAUGCGCAGAUAUCAGGAGGAACACCGAUGGCGAAGGCAGGUCUCUGGGCCAAUACUGACACUGAGGAGCGAAAGCGUGGGGAGCGAACAGGAUUAGAUACCCUGGUAGUCCACGCCGUAAACGGUGGGCGCUAGUUGUGCGAACCUUCCACGGUUUGUGCGACGCAGCUAACGCAUUAAGCGCCCCGCCUGGGGAGUACGAUCGCAAGAUUAAAACUCAAAGGAAUUGACGGGGCCCCGCACAAGCAGCGGAGCAUGCGGCUUAAUUCGACGCAACGCGAAGAACCUUACCAAGGCUUGACAUAUACAGGAAUAUGGCAGAGAUGUCAUAGCCCGCAGGUCUGUAUACAGGUGGUGCAUGGUUGUCGUCAGCUCGUGUCGUGAGAU